Molecule: unclassified non-coding RNA, 19 nt
Filed under: Mus musculus (house mouse)
Lineage: Eukaryota; Metazoa; Chordata; Mammalia; Rodentia; Muridae
Description: oocyte_clustered_small_RNA6652
Source: RNAcentral
UAACCAAGUCCAGCUGCAG